Molecule: long non-coding RNA, 1050 nt
Filed under: Homo sapiens (human)
Lineage: Eukaryota; Metazoa; Chordata; Mammalia; Primates; Hominidae
Description: HSALNT0048395
Source: RNAcentral
CGCGCCUCCUCCUGCUCGCAGCCCCCUACGCCCACCCGGCGGCGGUGGCCAGCGCCAGGACGCACAUCCCGCGGACACCGACCCCAGAUGUAAAGCGGGACCCCAGCCCCUCGCCCCCCGGCGCGAUCGACAGUCUCGCCAGCGUCUCCUCUGCCAAAACCCAGGGCUGGAAGAUGUGGCAGCCGGCCACGGAGCGCCUGCAGCCGCCUGCUCUGCCUGGGGGAUCAUACUCCUGUCAGCCGCCUGCCCUGCCCAGGGGAUCAUACUCCUGUCAGCCACCUGCCCUGCCUGGGGGAUCAUACUCCUGUCAUAGCAGUUGAAGUUGCCCCUCUUCUGCCAAAGUCUUUCCUGGUAUCCAGUUGCAAUGAGUCAUCCCUUUCUUCUGGGUGUCCACAGUUUGUUCUUCUGCUUCAGUUAUACCAUUCAGCUCAUUCUUGUUUUUCUUUUUAUUGGAAUUAUGUGUGGACUUCUAUCUUCCAAAAGCCUAGAAGCUGAGGGCUGGGUCUUUGUUCAUCUUUGUGUGCCCCAUUGCACAUGGAAUAAUACUUGGAAUACAAGGCCGGCAACACCAUACAAGCUCAGUGAAUAUAUUUAUGUCAUGCUUCAAUAAACUAAUGAUAUUUUAUAAUUUAUUUUUUGUCAUCUCUCUUAAUUUCUGUGGAUGGAAAGGUAAGAGAUAGAGUGGCAUAAUGAGCAUGCUAAGAGAAGAAUUUUACUUUUGUGUUGAGAGAGGUAUUUUUCUUACAUUUAUCUUUAGAGCCACAUGUUAAUGGGGGAAAAUGCACAAUUCUAUGUGUUUAUAUUAAACUUUUUUGAAAUGUGUUCUGGAUUUUCUUGACAUUUAAAUAAAGAUAUUAUACAUUGCAGAUAGCUUGUACCCAAGUUAUUUCUACUUACUAUUAGGGACAUUCCCUUUGUUAUAUUUAAUUUCAGGAAUGCAAGAGAUGGCAAUAGUUGGAGCUAUUCAUAAAUGGCAAUUAAUUAAAAAUAUAAAACAUAGAAUCUGUCUUGUUCAGAGUUGCAUCUGUUUUCUGGUGGGCUUUCAGAUGG